UACGAAGGGAGCUAGCGUUGUUCGGAAUUACUGGGCGUAAAGGGUGCGUAGGCGGUUCUAUAAGUCAGGUGUGAAAGCCCUGGGCUCAACCCAGGAACUGCGCUUGAUACUGUUGAACUUGAAUUCGGGAGAGGUGAGUGGAAUUCCCAGUGUAGAGGUAAAAUUCGUAGAUAUUGGGAAGAACACCGGUGGCGAAGGCGGCUCACUGGACCGACAUUGACGCUGAGGCACGAAAGCGUGGGGAGCAAACAGG
This 253-nucleotide ribosomal RNA is filed under the name uncultured bacterium. Its description in RNAcentral is "partial 16S ribosomal RNA". It matches the Rfam family "Bacterial small subunit ribosomal RNA", at positions 524 to 776 of the family's 1533-position model. The record is from RNAcentral.